UGGGAACCUCCAUAUGCCGAGGGAGAGGCACAAAGAAAUAGCAAAAAGACAAAAAAAAAAAAAAAAAAAGUACAUGUAAAAAACUUCCAGUGCUUACCUAGGAUACAGCGAGCCUACUGUAAAUGGUGGUGAUUGGUUGUUACACAUCUUCUUUUCUCCCCCCUUCACUCCCCAAGUUCUAUCCAUAGUUUCUGGUAAGAUAUGCUUAAAAGUAGAAGCCCCUAGAGGUUCUGUUGUGGCAGAGUGGGUUAAGGACCUGACGUCAUCUCUGUGGCCUUGCUCAGUGGGUUAAGGAUCCGGUUUUGCUGCAAGCUGCACGUAGGUCAUAGAUGUGGCUCAGAUCUGGUGUUGCUGUGGCUGUGGUGUAGGUUGCAGCUACAGCUGCGAUUCAGCCCCUAGCACUGGGAACUUCAUAUGCUGCAGGUGCAGCCAUAAAAAGAAAAAAAAAGUAGAAGCCCCAUAAUAAAUGUUUAUUGUAGGUCUUACCUUGCACUGAUGGCUGAUAUCAGGAGUGAAAAAUUGGUACCCUCACCCUGAAGAUGCUUUGUGCAGUGUUUGUUUUUUUAAUUAAAUAGUGUCUUCUGUGGGUCAGCCACUUCUCAGUUCACACAGUACUCCCUAUCCUCUAUUGUUUUAUAUGCCAUUACCUGACUUACCCUGGGAGGAAAAUCUGCUCUCCUCGCACUCACUCGUCUUUCCCUUAUAUACUCCCGGCUAUCACAGCUGGGCAUAUCUUGGCUUCCUUUGGCUUUUCCCCAGGAAUAUCUUUCUUUAUGGUUAAAAUAUACAUAGCAUGAAAUUUACCAUUUAAACCGUCUUUGAGUGUAUAAUUCAGUGGCAUUAGGUACAUUCACAAUAUGGUCCAGCCAUCACCACUGUCCAUUUUCAGAACUUUUCCACUGUCUCAAAUAGAAACUCUGCCUGUCCCUGUUCAACUCCACAUUCCCCCCUCCCCUCAGCCUCCAGUAACCAUUGUUUGACUUUCUGUCUCUAUGAAUUUGCCUCUUCUAACUAUACCUCAUGCAAGUGGAAUUAUACAGUGUCUGUCCUUCCGUGUCUGGCUUCUUUCAUGUAGCAUAAUGUUUUCAUUUUGUGGCAUGUGUCAGAAUUUCACUCAUUUUAAUAGCUGAAUAAUAUUCUAUGGUAUAGAUAUACCACGUAUUGUUUAUCCAUUCAUCCGUCAGUGGACAUUCAGGUUGUUCUGCUGGGAAUAUUGUGAGGCCCAUGGUGCUGCCUCAUCCCAGUCCUCUAAAUCAGACCAUUUUCCCUUCUUGAAACUCCUUUGUCUGCCUCAAAGUCUUAUCCUGAGUGAUGGAAAUAUUGGGGAAGGAGCAGAGAGUGAGGUCACAGACCAUGUAAGUGUGAAAGUGAUCUUUAUUUCUUUUUGCAAACAAAUGUAUGAUUUUAAAAACUACUCCUAGUUAAUACUUUUAAUCAUGCUGUAGGCUUCACUUUUUUUUUUUAGCUGAUUUUAUAUGUUUUUCAAUACUUUUGACUGUUACAAAUAGCUUUUUGGUUAUCAUUUAGAAAGUUGGUUGUAGGAGAUACACAGAACCCUUCAAUGCUCUACUUCUGCUGACUUGUGACAUGUAUGAUUUUGUUUGGGAUUUAACUUCUGAAUUUGGGAGGUUGCAUAUCUCAUGUCUUUGAGUAUUUUAAGUUUUUCCAGGGAGUUAUUCCAUGGUUUGGUAUAUCCAGAUAAAGACCAUACGUUUCUUAAAGAACUUGAUGCAUACUUGGCACUCCUUAACUCACUUCCUUUUACUCUGUUUCUUCCAGCAACACCCAACACAAUAUCAUGCAGCUGGUAGGCAUGCUGUAUUUUACUACUUAACAACUUGGUUAGCCUAUGGAUUCCAGCUUUUCAGAGUGCUUGCUUUUUAAAAAUAUUUGACACUAACAUAUUUGAAAUACCCCAUCUUCCCUUAUAACCAUUGGCAUUCUAGUUAGGAUACGUUCAGUACUGAUCCUGAGCUAUAUUACAAAGCUAUGCUUCUCUCUUUUUUUGGCCGCACCCAUGGCAUGCAGAAGUUCCUGGGCCGGGGAUUGAACCUGCACCACAGCAGUGACAAUGGCGGAUCCUCAAACCUCUGAACCUCCAGGGAACUCGAACAUUAUCCACUUAUAUCAGACCUAAAUAUAGAAAAAUAUUUCAGGGGCAGAGGAUGAAGUUUUUCCUUGCUAAAUUUUAUCUUUCUCUGUGAGCGCUGCUAGUUUGCAUGCCUGGUUUAUGUCGUAAAAUAUUUUAGUGCUUAUUAUAGCAUCUUAACUCCCUAAGAUUUACCAAGGACAAAUGUGAUCUUAAUAUUAUAUUGUAUUUCAUUUCGCAGGUUUGUUUCAUAACCUCAAUAGUUAUUUCUAUUUGCAAUUCAGUUUCCUUUCUAAAUGUGUUAAUAAAACACUCGCAUUAAGAUUGGCUCGACUCCAGAAUCUGAUACGGUCAUUCUUCAAGUAAGUGAUAAAACUCGUGACAAUAUAGCACUUGGAGAUCUUUGGAUGCAUCCUAACUAUACAAGUGGGGAAACUCUUAGUUCCUUAUAGAGUUAAAUUAAGGUCAGACCUGGUUUCCGACACGAAGUUCAGAUGUAUUGGCAGAUCCCCAUGCUUGCAUUUAUUAUACUGUAAUUUGGGGCUUAAAGAGUUAUAUCCAGUCCAUCCCCAACAUCUGGAUAGUGUUUAUAACGAUCACAUUUGAUCCUAAUGUAAUUUUGUUGGGGAAUUCACUAGAAUUCCUCUGUUGGCUACAUUACAACUGAACAUGAGAUCUGCUAAAAUAUUACCCCAAACUAGUGAAUAUCCACAGAGAAUACAAAAAUAGAUAGAUUUCAUCCCCCUCCUCCCGCCUGCCACUAAGGCAUCAUGUUCAUCUAUCUGGGUUUCCUUGUCUCCAUUGAUAAAAAUGGGGGUAAGGCUUUAGCAGCAGCCAACAUUCAUCAAGGGUUUUGAACCUUGAAAAGCAGAGCAGGCACAAAAAUCUUUCAAGGAUGAUUACUGCACACGUGCAACCACAAUGGCAGCAUCAUAGACUCAACAGAUAGGGAUGACAUGAGCUUGGAGAUCUUUCCUUUCAUUUUCAUUUUGAUUUAGAUGCUAUUCCUUAGGGUUAGGAAAACAUCACUUGGAAAGUGGAGCCAAAGGAUUGAUCUUAACCACCCUCCCCCAUCAGAGGAAGCCCCAAAUGAAUCAAGUUGAACCUUUUAAGGGUUGUAAAGGGAGCCUUUAAUUAUAUGAGGGGGACAAGGGGGAGGGCACGUGGGAAGUUUGGCAAUGCAGUUUCAGGACCUCCCAGCCCUGCCAGCAGGAAGAUUAUUAGCAGAUUUCAUGUAAUUUGUGCAUAGCCAUGUACUCUUCCCAUGAAAUAAUUUUAAGAUGCAAAAAGACAGAUGAGAAAAGGAAAAGACAGAUAGGGAAGGACAGAGACUAUAACAGUCUUUAGAGAGGGAAAAUUAUUUCAUUAAAUCUAAACAGCAUAUGCUUUUCUGCUGUAUAGCAUAUGCAAGUCUAUGCAAAUUAUUUAAUAGCAGUGCACUCAGAGUAAUUUCCAUUUCCUCCCUCGCUUGUGAUGGGAAUAUUCCUUUUAAUCAGAUUAGAUGACAUCCUCUGCAAACUUUUAGGGGUUUCAACUUAAUUUACCAUGCUAAGUAGUUAGGGUAAUUUGAAAUAAAGCAAUCAGUGGGCUGAAAUGAAGCCAAACCUCAUUUCUGUCUUUGAGAUGAGGAGCUGGCCGGCUGUGUGAGCCCCACAGGACUUCUUUCCUCUCCUCUCCUCUCCCUGCUCCCCAGCACCCGAUACCUCAGCAGAGUUACUAAUGGCCAGUUCCUCGUUUUGAUGGCACCUAGUCAGAUCUGUUUCCCAUCCACAGAGCUUGCUUGCAAUGCUGCAUUCCAUUGGCCCUCUCUUGGCUGUCACGAUUUAUGGUGCUGCCUCAAGCAAUGAUGGAAAGAUGAAUUCACACUCCUUAAAAACUUUUUCACCAGGGGAGGUCGUGGACUCCUGAAGGGGUCUUUAAAAUGCUCUGAAGGGGCCCUGCAGAUACUCCCAGUCUAGAGGUUCUGGAGAAAGGGAGCAACAUCCAGUCCAGUACCAUGGAUGGGCAAGGAGAGUCCUGUCGGGGAAGAAUUCAUGGGGGACACACACCUGAAGGUGACAGCCUCUUAUCUAUGGGGCCUGUGCUGUGGGAGUAGUGCCUUGUGAAACUAUGAAGCUUGCCUUGGGGUGUUGCUCACAGUCGUGUGGUCUUUGUGUCUCACCAUUCCAGGGGAUGCCAUUGUCUAGCCAUCAUGGGACGAUCUGGACUGUUGAUAUCUACAGUUGUCCAGCAGAUGGCAGUAAAGGGUCUUGAGGAGAGAAUUACUUUUAAAUUACAACAACCUGCAGUUUAGACUAGACAAGAGGCUGCUUGGCUUUCCUUUCCACUGGUCCUCUGUUUUAUGGGUGGUGGUGUUUGGGGAAGGGAAAGAUUUUAAUUGCUUAAAUGAAUUCCCUGAAAAGUGUUAGCAGAUGAGGUUUAAACAUCAUCGGUACCAAGGCUGCUAGGGAUUUACUAGCCACUGGGAUAUAAAAGAGAAAUUUAAUGGUGAAAUUUCAUGUACCAAGACAAGUAGUAAAAGUUCCUUUCCUUCUUUUUUCUUCACAUCCACCUUCCCCUCAUGGUAAUGCCUCAGCCGGGGUCUUGAUUUUGAGGCACUGAGAUCUGCUCCCUGUGGCAUAGAGAGGCGUUCCUCAUUAAAGGUUUGUUUACAACCUUUGGAUGUGGCAGGGAUGGAAAAGAACAGGCUGCAAUCAAUUAACUCUUUAAAAAUAGGACAUCAUAUAACCAAAGCCAGUCCCUUUCUCCAUGCAGGGAGGAAAUCAGGGGUAGGGUUUUCUGAUCGCCUACUGCGUUUUUCCAUCCCUCGUUUCCCUUAAACCAGAGGCAACCCUUAAAGCAGUGAUCAUUUCCCCCAUUUCACAGAGAAGAGAACUUCAGGGAAGUUAAGGGACCCACAGGAAGUCUCUCGGUUAGCUUGUGGAUUCAGAUCUUAACCUGGCUGACCCCAAAACUCACCCUUGUGUCACUAGAGCACUCUACCACAUGACUACUAAAAAGGAGACCGAGGGAGAACUUCUUCCUUAUUAUUUUGCCUUUUUGUUGACUGGGUAAAAUACAUGCAUGAUAAAUUCAAAGACAUAGUCACAGAUAGGUUUCUGUCCUUUCACGCCUCCUUCCCCAGCCAUAUUCCCACUACCUACCACAGUCAAAGUUUCCUAUGUAUUCUUUCAGAAAUAUUUUAUGCUUUUAUAAACAUAUACAUAUAUAUUCUUUUUUUUCCCCUCAUGUAAAAGGUAGCACACUAUACAUAGUUGCUUCUGUCUUUUUUCACUUAAUAAUGUAUCCUGGAAGUGAGCUAAAUAAUUCUUUUUAACAGCAGCUGAGUUGGGAAUACUUUCCAUUGUAUGUUUGUACCAUAAUUUUAUUUAGCUGAAAUUGAUUUAUUUAACUGAUGUAUUUGUUUAACUGAGAUUGAUGAACCCAACAGAAGUUAUAUUGUCAAAUGACUAUAUUCCUGUCAGUGUAGCCAGCCUUUACAAAUAUCUUUUUUUUUUUUGUCUUUUUGCCUUUUCUAGGGCCGCUCCCAUGGCAUAUGGAGUCGGAUUCGUUAACCCGGGAACUCCCUUUACAAAUAUCUUGAUAGGGAGUUCCCGUCGUGGCGCAGUGGUUAACGAAUCCGACUAGGAACCAUGAGGUUGCGGGUUCGGUCCCUGCCCUUGCUCAGUGGGUUAACGAUCCGGCGUUGUCGUGAGCUGUGGUGUAGGUUGCAGACGCGGCUCGGAUCCCGCGUUGCUGUGGCUCUGGCGUAGGCCGGCGGCUACAGCUCCGAUUGGACCCCUAGCCUGGGAACCUCCGUAUGCCGUGGGAGGGGCCCAACAAAAGGCAAAAAGACAAAAAAAAAAAAAAAAAAAAAAA
This 5947-nucleotide long non-coding RNA is filed under the name Sus scrofa (pig). Its description in RNAcentral is "lncRNA (ENSSSCG00015032449.1)". Lineage: Eukaryota; Metazoa; Chordata; Mammalia; Artiodactyla; Suidae. The record is from RNAcentral.